UACGGGGGGAGCGACCGUUGUCCGGAAUCAUUGGGCGUAAAGCGCGCGUAGGUGGCUUCGUAAGUCCGUUGUGAAAGUCAAAGGCUCAACCUUUGAAUGCCGAUGGAUACUGCGGAGCUAGAGUACGGAAGAGGCGAGUGGAAUUCCUGGUGUAGCGGUGAAAUGCGCAGAUAUCGGGAAGAACACCCGUGGCGAAGGCGGUUCUCUGGGACGGUACUGACGCUGAGACGCGAAAGCGUGGGGAGCGAACAGG
RNAcentral lists this ribosomal RNA (253 nucleotides) under uncultured bacterium. Its description in RNAcentral is "partial 16S ribosomal RNA". It matches the Rfam family "Bacterial small subunit ribosomal RNA", at positions 524 to 776 of the family's 1533-position model. The record is from RNAcentral.